AGUGGCGAACGGGUGCGUAACACGUGAGAAACCAACCCCGGUCUUUGGGAUAACAGGCGGAAACGCCUGCUAAUACCGAAUAACGUCGUUUCCUCGCAUGGGGAGAUGACGAAAGGGCUACCGGAUCGGGACGGUCUCGCGGCCUAUCAGCUUGUUGGGGAGGUAACGGCUCACCAAGGCAUCGACGGGUAGCUGGUCUGAGAGGAUGAUCAGCCACACUGGGACUGAGACACGGCCCAGACUCCUACGGGAGGCAGCAGUGGGGAAUCUUGCGCAAUGGGCGAAAGCCUGACGCAGCAACGCCGCGUGCGGGAUGAAGGCCUUCGGGUUGUAAACCGCUUUUAACAGGAACGAAAAUGACGGUACCUGCAGAAUAAGGUGCGGCCAACUACGUGCCAGCAGCCGCGGUGACACGUAGGCACCAAGCGUUGUCCGGAUUUAUUGGGCGUAAAGAGCUCGUAGGCGGUUCAGGUAGUCGGGUGUGAAAACUCUGGGCUCAACCCAGAGACGCCACCCGAUACUCCUGUGACUAGAGUUCGGUAGGGGAGCGGGGAAUUCCUAGUGUAGCGGUGAAAUGCGCAGAUAUUAGGAGGAACACCGGUGGCGAAGGCGCCGCUCUGGGCCGAUACUGACGCUGAGGAGCGAAAGCGUGGGUAGCAAACAGGAUUAGAUACCCUGGUAGUCCACGCCGUAAACGGUG
RNAcentral lists this ribosomal RNA (700 nucleotides) under uncultured bacterium. RNAcentral's name for it is "bacterial SSU rRNA". It matches the Rfam family "Bacterial small subunit ribosomal RNA", at positions 94 to 811 of the family's 1533-position model. The record is from RNAcentral.